AUGGAAGAAAUCAUCAAACAACUGAUAAAAAAGGGAGAAAUUCAACAGAGUUUCAGUCCUUUCUCUUCAGUAGCUAUCGUGGUCAGGAAAAAAGAUGGUGGAUGGAGAUUGUGUGUGGACUACAUGGAACUAAAUGCAAUCAUAGUGAAAAAUAAAUUUCCAAUGCCAAUCAUUGAAGACUUAUUAAGUGAACUGCAUGGAGCAAAGGUAUUUUCCAAACUAGACCUUAGCUCUGGGUACCAUCAAAUCAGGAUGGCCACUGAAGAUAUACCUAAAACAGCCUUCAGAACACACAUGGGCCAUUAUGAGUACACAGUGGUUCCUUUUGGUCUAUCUUGUGGUCCAGGAACUUUACAGUGCUUGAUGAAUCAAGUAUGUGAAGAAACUCAGGAACCCACAAAAAAGAACUUAAUGGUUUUCUUUGAUGAUAUAUUGGUAUUUAGUAAAGCCAUGGAAGAUCACAUAAGACAUCUUCAGAGAACAUUGGAAAUGCUUAGGAAACAUGAAUUAUAUGUGAAGAUAUCCAAAUGUACUUUUGCUACAAGUCAGGUCACUUAUUUAGGUCACAUCAUUUCUGAACAAGGAGUGGCAACUGAUCCUGAGAAGAUCCAAGCAAUAUUGGACUGGAAAGAACAUGAGAAUGUGACCAAACUAAGAGGCUUCUUAGGAUUAACUGGAUACUAUAGAAGAUUUGUGAAAGAUUAUGAAAGAAUAUGUAGACCACUACAUGAUAUGCUCAAAAAAGAUGCAUUUCAGUGA
Molecule: ribosomal RNA, 759 nt
Filed under: Triticum aestivum (bread wheat)
Lineage: Eukaryota; Viridiplantae; Streptophyta; Magnoliopsida; Poales; Poaceae
Description: partial small subunit ribosomal RNA
Source: RNAcentral